This 309-nucleotide small RNA is filed under the name Oryza sativa Japonica Group (Japanese rice). Its description in RNAcentral is "sRNA Os09g0502350". Lineage: Eukaryota; Viridiplantae; Streptophyta; Magnoliopsida; Poales; Poaceae. The record is from RNAcentral.
CGACGGCUAGAGGAGAGAAAAGGAAGAAGGAGACCUGACCAGUGGGCCCAGCCUAUUUAUUAUUAUUAUUUUUGGAUGAAACUGCCACGUAAUCGCCACGUAGUAUGAACACCUAGUCAAAGGAGCCACGUAGGCGCCAAGUCAGCCAAAACCGGUAACAAUACCACCGAGGGAUCUAUUUUGCACCAGUUUUUGGGUUGAGGGAUGAUUUUGUAAUUCGGUGACAAGAUGGAGGACCUCCGGUGUACUUUUUUCCAAGAAAGACCAUAUGUCCUCAAAACCCUUAACAGGCCGGACAAACAGAAGGCC